UAUAGUAUCUAUGAAAUGACUGAAUUAUGGUUAUCUGUUGCAGUCAUAUUAGAAGAUGUUUGAGAGUAGGAAUAGAAUUGAUUAUGAUAUUUUUGUUUUGUUGUUAAUUUUUAUUAUACAGUAAUGAUGGAUUCACAGGAGAUUGCAGAGAAAUUUACAGGGACAUUCUGGGCUCCUUUCCCUAUGUAAACAAUCUCAGGCAACCACGACACAACAUCCACACCAAGAAACUGAUGUUACAACCCUUACUUAGUUACUCCGAUUUCACCAGUUGUAUUCGACUCCAUGAUAGUGGGAGAUAUAAACUGGGAAUUUAAACAGUCGAGGCAUUUUGAUCUUUCUAAUGCACAGAAGAAUCAAGAGAAAAGAAGUUAGCACCUUGUCACCCUUUGGACCAGGACUUCCAGGACCGCCUCUUUCUCCAGGCAUCCCUUGCAGACCAGGAGUACCAGAAGCACCAGGUGGCCCAGGGGGACCAGCAGGGCCCUAAAAUCGGGAGAGAG
This is a non-coding RNA of Oryctolagus cuniculus (rabbit), 503 nucleotides long. The record is from RefSeq and is a predicted model, not a curated record. NCBI's taxonomy places the organism in Eukaryota, Metazoa, Chordata, Mammalia, Lagomorpha, Leporidae.